This 531-nucleotide ribosomal RNA is filed under the name uncultured bacterium. RNAcentral's name for it is "bacterial SSU rRNA". It matches the Rfam family "Bacterial small subunit ribosomal RNA", at positions 355 to 896 of the family's 1533-position model. The record is from RNAcentral.
UGGGGAAUAUUGCACAAUGGGCGAAAGCCUGAUGCAGCGACGCCGCGUGGGGGAUGACGGCCUUCGGGUUGUAAACCCCUUUCAGUAGGGAAGAAGCGAGAGUGACGGUACCUGCAGAAGAAGCGCCGGCUAACUACGUGCCAGCAGCCGCGGUAAUACGUAGGGCGCAAGCGUUGUCCGGAAUUAUUGGGCGUAAAGAGCUUGUAGGUGGCUUGUCGCGUCUGCCGUGAAAACCCGAGGCUCAACCUCGGGCGUGCGGUGGGUACGGGCAGGCUAGAGUGUGGCAGGGGAGACUGGAACUCCUGGUGUAGCGGUGAAAUGCGCAGAUAUCAGGAAGAACACCGAUGGCGAAGGCAGGUCUCUGGGCCAUUACUGACACUGAGAAGCGAAAGCAUGGGUAGCGAACAGGAUUAGAUACCCUGGUAGUCCAUGCCGUAAACGUUGGGCACUAGGUGUGGGGGACAUUCCACGUUUUCCGCGCCGUAGCUAACGCAUUAAGUGCCCCGCCUGGGGAGUACGGCCGCAAGGCUA